GAUGAACGCUGGCGGCGUGCUUAACACAUGCAAGUCGAACGAAGCACUUUAUUUGAUUUCCUUCGGGACUGAUUAUUUUGUGACUGAGUGGCGGACGGGUGAGUAACGCGUGGGUAACCUGCCUUGUACAGGGGGAUAACAGUUGGAAACGGCUGCUAAUACCGCAUAAGCGCACGGCAUCGCAUGAUGCAGUGUGAAAAACUCCGGUGGUAUAAGAUGGACCCGCGUUGGAUUAGCUAGUGGGUGAGGUAACGGCACACCAAGGCGACGAUCCAUAGCCGACCUGAGAGGGUGACCGGCCACAUUGGCACUGAGACACGGCCCAAACUCUUACGGAAGGCAGCAGUGGAGAAUAUUGCACAAUGGGCGAAAGCCUGAUGCAGCCACGCCGCGUGAGCGAAGAAGUAUUUCGGUAUGUAAAGCUCUAUCAGCAGGGAAGAUAAUGACGGUACCUGACUAAGAAGCACCGGCUAACUACGUG
Molecule: ribosomal RNA, 481 nt
Filed under: uncultured bacterium
Lineage: Bacteria
Description: partial 16S ribosomal RNA
Rfam family: Bacterial small subunit ribosomal RNA
Source: RNAcentral